UUAACUCAAAUUUGUUUGUAGGAACGUUUGCCUGCGUUUGCCGCUAGGGGCGCUGUUCCAACUGCAUACAAAUUUGAGUUA
RNAcentral lists this microRNA precursor (81 nucleotides) under Bombyx mori (domestic silkworm). RNAcentral's name for it is "mir-2807 microRNA precursor family". It matches the Rfam family "mir-2807 microRNA precursor family". The record is from Rfam by way of RNAcentral. Lineage: Eukaryota; Metazoa; Arthropoda; Insecta; Lepidoptera; Bombycidae.